GACGAACGCUGGCGGCGUGCCUAAUACAUGCAAGUAGAACGCACAGUUUAUACCGUAGCUUGCUACACCAUAAACUGUGAGUUGCGAACGGGUGAGUAACGCGUAGGUAACCUGCCUGGUAGCGGGGGAUAACUAUUGGAAACGAUAGCUAAUACCGCAUAAUAUUGAUUAUUGCAUGAUAAUUGAUUGAAAGAUGCUAUUGCAUCACUACCAGAUGGACCUGCGUUGUAUUAGCUAGUAGGUGAGGUAACGGCUCACCUAGGCGACGAUACAUAGCCGACCUGAGAGGGUGAUCGGCCACACUGGGACGGAGACACGGCCCAGACUCCUACGGGAGGCAGCAGUAGGGAAUCUUCGGCAAUGGACGAAAGUCUGACCGAGCAACGCCGCGUGAGUGAAGAAGGUUUUCGGAUCGUAAAGCUCUGUUGUAAGAGAAGAACGGGUGUGAGAGUGGAAAGUUCACACUGUGACGGUAUCUUACCAGAAAGGGACGGCUAACCACGUG
Molecule: ribosomal RNA, 505 nt
Filed under: uncultured bacterium
Lineage: Bacteria
Description: partial 16S ribosomal RNA
Rfam family: Bacterial small subunit ribosomal RNA
Source: RNAcentral